This 871-nucleotide ribosomal RNA is filed under the name Phellinidium fragrans. Its description in RNAcentral is "eukaryotic LSU rRNA". It matches the Rfam family "Eukaryotic large subunit ribosomal RNA", at positions 66 to 915 of the family's 3401-position model. The record is from RNAcentral. Lineage: Eukaryota; Fungi; Basidiomycota; Agaricomycetes; Hymenochaetales; Hymenochaetaceae.
UAACAAGGAUUCCCCUAGUAACUGCGAGUGAAGCGGGAAAAGCUCAAAUUUAAAAUCUGGCGGCUUUGCCGUCCGAGUUGUAAUCUGGAGAAGCGUUUUCCGCGUCGGACCGUGUACAAGUCUCUUGGAACAGAGCGUCAUAGAGGGUGAGAAUCCCGUCCAUGACACGGACCACCGAUGCUUUGUGAUACGCUCUCGAAGAGUCGAGUUGUUUGGGAAUGCAGCUCAAAAUGGGUGGUAAAUUCCAUCUAAAGCUAAAUAUUGGCGAGAGACCGAUAGCGAACAAGUACCGUGAGGGAAAGAUGAAAAGCACUUUGGAAAGAGAGUUAAACAGUACGUGAAAUUGUUGAAAGGGAAACGCUUGAAGUCAGUCGCGUCUUGCAGGACUCAGCCUUGCUUUUCUUUGCAUUGCGUACUUCCUGUAGGACGGGUCAACAUCGAUUUUGGUUGACGGACAAAGGGGGAUGGGAAUGUGGCAGUCUUCGGGCUGUGUUUAUAGCCCUCUUCCGUAUACGUCGACUGGGAUCGAGGACCGCAGCGUGCGUUUUUUUAUUAUUUUAAAAAUAAUGUUGCGCUUAGGAUGUUGGCAUAAUGGCUUUAAGCGACCCGUCUUGAAACACGGACCAAGGAGUCUAACAUGCUUGCGAGUGUUAGGGUGGAAAACCCUUGCGCGUAAUGAAAGUGAAAGUUGAGAGCCUCCGCAAGGGGGUGCACCGACGCCCGGCCCUGAAGUUCACUGACGGUGCUGCGGUAGAGCACGUAUGUUGGGACCCGAAAGAUGGUGAACUAUGCCUGAAUAGGGCGAAGCCAGAGGAAACUCUGGUGGAGGCUCGUAGCGAUUCUGACGUGCAAAUCGAUCGUCAAAUUUGGG